Long non-coding RNA from Exaiptasia diaphana, 518 nucleotides. RefSeq lists it as uncharacterized. Lineage: Eukaryota; Metazoa; Cnidaria; Anthozoa; Actiniaria; Aiptasiidae. The record is from RefSeq and is a predicted model, not a curated record. The transcript is spliced from 2 exons.
UAUGCUAAACUAUUAUAUUUUGGUUUGAAUAAUUUGUAUCCACUAUCACAAAUCAAUCAUUCUGAUUMGCUAUUGAACCACAGUCUAUUCAUAUAAGAAAUAGUGUCAUGUAGUCACGCAACGACUAAACCCGACACAAACUCUUGAACAAUAAGUAGCUAGUUAUCAUUGCAUGUUAUCAAUCAACGUAUAGAUUAACAAUAGUGACAAGCCCAUUACUUGCGGUCUUUCUAAUUUAGUCCCUAUUUUGUAUUCACAAUAGCAUAGGAAUUUAGGUUUUUCCUGUUUUUCAAGAUAUGGAAUUUAGUAUUAGUUUUAGUAGCACGUCCAACCGAACCUAAUUUAGUGUAGUCUCAGGAGCCAAACYBAGAGGAGCAACAAACUCGGAACGGAGUCAACUAGCCUUUAGAAGUCUUCUUUUAACUAGUUAUCCAAUCCCGCAGAGACGAGAUCAGACUUUUUACCGCAAGCGAGUCAACGUGUAUUCAGGCAGUUACGCUAAUAAACGAAUAUAACCU